GGGGACCUUCGGGCCUCAUGCCAUCAGAUGUGCCCAGAUGGGAUUAGCUAGUAGGUGGGGUAACGGCUCACCUAGGCGACGAUCCCUAGCUGGUCUGAGAGGAUGACCAGCCACACUGGAACUGAGACACGGUCCAGACUCCUACGGGAGGCAGCAGUGGGGAAUAUUGCACAAUGGGCGCAAGCCUGAUGCAGCCAUGCCGCGUGUGUGAAGAAGGCCUUCGGGUUGUAAAGCACUUUCAGCGGGGAGGAAGGCGAUAAGGUUAAUAACCUUGUCGAUUGACGUUACCCGCAGAAGAAGCACCGGCUAACUCCGUGCCAGCAGCCGCGGUAAUACGGAGGGUGCAAGCGUUAAUCGGAAUUACUGGGCGUAAAGCGCACGCAGGCGGUCUG
Molecule: ribosomal RNA, 392 nt
Filed under: Klebsiella pneumoniae
Lineage: Bacteria; Pseudomonadati; Pseudomonadota; Gammaproteobacteria; Enterobacterales; Enterobacteriaceae
Description: bacterial SSU rRNA
Rfam family: Bacterial small subunit ribosomal RNA
Source: RNAcentral